CGGACGGGUGAGUAAUGUAUGGGGAUCUGCCUGAUGGCGGGGGAUAACUACUGGAAACGGUAGCUAAUACCGCAUAAUGUCUACGGACCAAAGCGGGGGACCUCCGGGCCUCGCGCCAUCAGAUGAACCCAUAUGGGAUUAGCUAGUAGGUGAGGUAACGGCUUACCUAGGCGACGAUCCCUAGCUGGUCUGAGAGGAUGAUCAGCCACACCGGGACUGAGACACGGCCCAG
RNAcentral lists this ribosomal RNA (232 nucleotides) under uncultured bacterium. RNAcentral describes it as "partial 16S ribosomal RNA". It matches the Rfam family "Bacterial small subunit ribosomal RNA", at positions 99 to 334 of the family's 1533-position model. The record is from RNAcentral.